RNAcentral lists this unclassified non-coding RNA (178 nucleotides) under soil metagenome. RNAcentral's name for it is "partial internal transcribed spacer 1". The record is from RNAcentral.
CCGAGUGCGGGCCCUCGCGGCCCAACCUCCCACCCUUGUCUCUCUACCCCUGUUGCUUUGGGCGGGCCCACCGGGGCCACCUGGUCGCCGGGGGACGCACGUCCCCGGGCCCGCGCCCGCCGAAGCGCUCUGUGAACCCUGAUGAAGAUGGGCUGUCUGAGUACGAUGAAAAUUGUCA